Molecule: ribosomal RNA, 175 nt
Filed under: uncultured bacterium
Lineage: Bacteria
Description: partial 16S ribosomal RNA
Source: RNAcentral
GGCUGCAUCCACAGACAACUCCUACGAGCACGCCGCGUGAGUGAUAAGGCCUCGGGUUGUAACGCCCUUUUGCUGGGGAAGAAUAAGCUGUGGGAGGGAAUGCCCGCCUGCUUACAUGAACCGGCGAAAUGAACCCCCGGCAAAAAUCUCUGCCCGCAGCCCCGGGAAAUAAAAA